RNAcentral lists this ribosomal RNA (492 nucleotides) under uncultured bacterium. Its description in RNAcentral is "partial 16S ribosomal RNA". It matches the Rfam family "Bacterial small subunit ribosomal RNA", at positions 29 to 507 of the family's 1533-position model. The record is from RNAcentral.
AGUGAACGCUGGCGGUAGGCCUAACACAUGCAAGUCGAACGGCAGCACAGUAAGAGCUUGCUCUUACGGGUGGCGAGUGGCGGACGGGUGAGGAAUACAUCGGAAUCUACUUUUUCGUGGGGGAUAACGUAGGGAAACUUACGCUAAUACCGCAUACGACCUACGGGUGAAAGCAGGGGAUCUUCGGACCUUGCGCGUUUGAAUGAGCCGAUGUCGGAUUAGCUAGUUGGGGGGGUAAAGGCCCACCAAGGCGACGAUCCGUAGCUGGUCUGAGAGGAUGAUCAGCCACACUGGAACUGAGACACGGUCCAGACUCCUACGGGAGGCAGCAGUGGGGAAUAUUGGACAAUGGGCGCAAGCCUGAUCCAGCCAUACCGCGUGGGUGAAGAAGGCCUUCGGGUUGUAAAGCCCUUUUGUUGGGAAAGAAAAGCAGCAGGUUAAUACCCCGCUGUUCUGACGGUACCCAAAGAAUAAGCACCGGCUAACUUCGUG